UUUAAGAAGCCAAGGGAGGCACGAGAGAUGUGAGGAGGCCCGCCGCGGGAAAAAGACGGACGGCGGCGCGGCGCACGCAGCACCUCGGCGCGCGGGCGGCACUCCCAGGGCGCCCGGGCGGCCGCGGCGGCAGGGCGGGGGGGCCGCAACCGCACACCGCGCCGCACCUCCUCCGAAAGUUAAAGCGCCCGCCAGGAGCGCAGAGGAGAAACCCACCUCCCCGAAGAUUACUGCAAUGUGCUUCUGUGUUCACCACGCGUAGUGCCCAGGAAUAGCAGAUGGUGAAUGAACGAAUGUCUAUGUCUCUGCACGAGCAGAGGCUUCAGGUGGGGACCUGUCGACUGAAGUGGACCACAAACUGAAGACCCCCACAAGCCUCAUUAUCUGAAUCCAUGAUUCUCAUUCUUGGUUGCCUGCUGGAAUCUCCUGAAUAUCAUUCACAAAAUAUACGCUAGAGACUCCCUCAAA
Long non-coding RNA from Mirounga angustirostris (Northern elephant seal), 468 nucleotides. RefSeq lists it as uncharacterized. The transcript has 3 exons. NCBI's taxonomy places the organism in Eukaryota, Metazoa, Chordata, Mammalia, Carnivora, Phocidae. The record is from RefSeq and is a predicted model, not a curated record.